GGCCAUACAACCCUGAAUGUGCCUGAACUCUUCUGAUCUCAGAAGUUAAGCAGGGUCAGGCCUGGUCAGUACUAUGUGGCCCAGGCUGGCCU
Molecule: ribosomal RNA, 92 nt
Organism: Fukomys damarensis (Damara mole-rat)
Lineage: Eukaryota; Metazoa; Chordata; Mammalia; Rodentia; Bathyergidae
Source: Ensembl